UGAGGAAUAUUGGUCAAUGGACGCAAGUCUGAACCAGCCAAGUAGCGUGCAGGAUGACGGCCCUAUGGGUUGUAAACUGCUUUUAUAUGGGGAUAAAGUGGGGAACGUGUUCCCUUUUGCAGGUACCAUAUGAAUAAGGACCGGCUAAUUCCGUGCCAGCAGCCGCGGUAAUACGGAAGGUCCAGGCGUUAUCCGGAUUUAUUGGGUUUAAAGGGAGCGUAGGCUGUUUGUUAAGCGUGUUGUGAAAUGUAAGAGCUCAACUUUUAGAUUGCAGCGCGAACUGGCAGACUUGAGUGCGCACAACGUAGGCGGAAUUCAUGGUGUAGCGGUGUAAUGCUUAGAUAUCAUGACGAGCUCCGAUUGCGAAGGCAGCUUACGGGAGCGCAACUGACGCUAAAGCUCGAAGGUGCGGGUAUCGAACAGG
RNAcentral lists this ribosomal RNA (424 nucleotides) under Verrucomicrobiota bacterium. RNAcentral's name for it is "Verrucomicrobia bacterium partial 16S ribosomal RNA". It matches the Rfam family "Bacterial small subunit ribosomal RNA", at positions 355 to 776 of the family's 1533-position model. The record is from RNAcentral. Lineage: Bacteria; Pseudomonadati; Verrucomicrobiota.